Onychostruthus taczanowskii (white-rumped snowfinch) is the source of this 1519-nucleotide long non-coding RNA. RefSeq lists it as uncharacterized. The transcript is spliced from 9 exons. Lineage: Eukaryota; Metazoa; Chordata; Aves; Passeriformes; Passeridae. The record is from RefSeq and is a predicted model, not a curated record.
GAGCUCCGCGGCCUCUUGCUCCGGAUCGGCCGAGGGCGGCGGAGCCCAGGGCGCCGGCGGGAGCCCCGUGCCCGGAGCCAGGCCGGCCAUGAGGGCACUUCCCCGGCGUGCGCCGGCAGGCCCGAGCCUCUGCCGGAGCCAGGCGGGCACUGUGAAGGCAGAAGUGGGGGGCUGAGCCUUGGGGAGACCUGAAGUUCAGGCUGCAGCAAAGAGGUGUGUGAUGUGGGCAUUUGUUUGGUUUGCUCCACCAUGCCUGAAUCUCUAGCAAAUAAUGGGCACUGUGAAGGCAGAAGUGGGGGGCUGAGCCUUGGGGAGACCUGAAGUUCAGGCUGCAGCAAAGAGGUGUGUGAUGUGGGCAUUUGUUUGGUUUGCUCCACCAUGCCUGAAUCUCUAGCAAAUAAUGGGCACUGUGAAGGCAGAAGUGGGGGGCUGAGCCUUGGGGAGACCUGAAGUUCAGGCUGCAGCUGACAAUGAAGAGGUGUGGGUGAGGACAUUGUCUGGUUUGCUCCACCAUGUGUGCCCCUUUGUCAGGGGAGAAUGGUUGAGAUUUGUAAAAAGUUGUCCCGGGCCCUGCUGGAGUUUCAGUGUUCUGCUCAAGAUGGAUGGUUCUGCUGCUGCCUGGGAUCCUCCUUCCAGCCCCAGCAUUCCCAUGCCCUGCAAUAGCUCUGACCUCAGAGCUGUCAGGAGUGAUGAAUUUGUGUCCUGCCAGCUUAGAUGGAGGCUGUUGCAUUUUCUGUGCCCAGGGUACAGGGCAUGUAACUGGAAUGGAUUCUGGAACUGGCUGCAUGUUCAGUGCAGUUGGAUGCUGUUUUCUCCAGGGGCUGCAUUCCCUGCCUGGCAGCUCAAAAAAAAAAAGGCAAGGAGGCCUCUCCUGGAGCAGCUGUCAGUACGGGAGGUGGCCUUGUGGGCAAGGAAGGGUCAGGCUGUGGUUCUCCCCUGCUGCCCAGAAAGCUGCAGUGCUGUAUCCCUGGCAAGGGCACAGUGUGUUUCUGUGCUGUUGGAAGCCUGGUUUUAAUAAAAUCUGCAUGAUGAGUGAGUUUGGCUGGACUCAGGUUAAUUCUCAAUACUUGUGUUUCCAGCCAGAAACCACAAACUUUCAUUGCUGUGACGCAUCAGCCUCAGCUUGUGCCUGGAUGGUUGAAAAUGAUACUCCGGGGCAAAGUUACCUCUAAAUGCUCUUGCUUGCUGAAUAAUAAUGAUGUUGCAUCUCUUAGGAGCCCAGUUUCCUUACAAAAAGUAGGAAGGAAGCUUAAUUGAUGUAAAUCUGGAGAAAGUGGAGUUGGGUGACCUUUCCUCUGCUGUCACCAAGGGCAGUCUGGUCUGCUCCACGCUUCUCAGCAGGAACAUCUCAGUUCCCACAGCCAGUCCCUGGUUAAAGUACCACAAACAGGAAAUACGAAAACGUGACAACAUCAGACAAACCCCACGACCCUUCACAGAUGCACUUCCAGGAGGAAUGUUGCAGGUGUUCAUCAGAAAAAAAGAAAAUAACAACAACAAAAAGGAAGGAACGAAACGC